Molecule: long non-coding RNA, 1453 nt
Organism: Hemiscyllium ocellatum (epaulette shark)
Lineage: Eukaryota; Metazoa; Chordata; Chondrichthyes; Orectolobiformes; Hemiscylliidae
Exons: 8
Source: RefSeq, a predicted model, not a curated record
CGUGAUCAUCCUCGCGGACAGCGCGGCUGUGCGGGCGGAGAGCUGUCGCACAACCAGAACUGGACAGAGUAUUCCAGAAGAGGCCUCCCCCACAUCUUGUACAUCCUCAACAUAACGUCCCAACUCCUGUACUCCAAGGUCUGAACAAUGUAGAUCCCAGUGAUUAAUGCCAAAGCCCUGUUGCCUGGGGAGAGGGUGAUGUUUGACUUUCUUGUACAGCUGCAGUUUGUGUGGUGAAGGUGCUCCCACAAUGUGGUUGGGAUGAGGCUGUCACUGGCUCGGCCAGCAUUUAUUGCUGCGUUUACCCAGUGGGCAGUUAAGACCUAUAGCAACGUGGUUGACUCUUGAGUCCCAUGCAGACCAGACCAGACCAGAUCCCAGUGAUCAGUGCCAAAGCCCCAUUGCCUGUGGAAAAGGUGAUGUUUGACUUCCUGUACAGCUGCAAUUCGUGUGGUGAAGGUGCUCCCACAAUGUGGUUGGUAUCUAGGUUUGGAACGCUAAUCCACCUGAUUAUCCUGCUUUUUCCAAAAGGUGAAGGUGAGACAGGCUCCAGUGACUUCAUGGGGGCUACAACUCCCACAGUACCUGUGGCAGGGACCGCACGUGUGUGGGGAAACCCUGCACGCUACAUGUGCAGAAUGUGAGCGGGUUUUGGAACAUGUGCUUUGGGGUGCUAGAUGGUGAAGAUUUGCAGACUGAAAUCUCAAAGUCAUGUGCAGAUUGUGAUUAAGUUAACCAGCAUUUGAAGAACCAAAGAUAGAGAAUCACUCCACCAAAAUCCUGCAACACUCUCCCUCCCAGCAUUGUCGGUCUCUCUGCACCAAAUGGACUGUGAAUGGUACAAGACAGCAGCUCACUACCAUCUUCUCAAGGGUAACUAGAGAUGGGGAAUAAAUGCUGGCUGAGCCAGAGAUGCCCAUAUCCUGGAAAUGGUUUCUUAUCUCUAGUUGCUGAAACCCAGUUGAUGUUACUGCAGGAUGAUGAGGGACGCUGAGUGCAUCCUCCAGGAGGCAGCACCAUCACAUUACCCCUGCCUACACCCACACAGUAACACCGCAACGUCACUGGAACAAAAGGCAGUGAAACUAAAGGAGGACUUGGAUAUAGUUCUUGAGGUAGAGCCAUGAAAGGGGAUUGGAACACAGCAGGAACAGGAGACUGUGCUGGAUGGUCAGCUGUUUCCCAUUGAAUGGUGGAGCAGGAUUGAAAGGCCGAAUGGCCUCCUGCUGCUAUCUCCCAGGUAUGUAUGUAGCCAUGGAGCCCGGGUAGGAAGGAGUGGGCAGGGAUUCGCCAAGAGAUUGCACUUCCACAACAGGUUUCAGUGAGCGAUGGUUUGAUGGAUUUUAUUUAACAUUUACAAACCUUGUGUUAAAGAUAAAUUUUGGUUUUAAAAUGUUGUGAAAGUUUUUUGAACAGCAAAUAAAAUUAAAGAAAAUAAUUUGUCUGAAUAUAA